UCACCAUUGGCACUGGAGAAUCUUGAGGGUCUCACAACAUUAAAGUUGACUUCGUACAUUAAUUUGCAUUUGCCAAAAUAUUUUUGGAAUAUGAAAAGUUUGAGACAUAUGAUUAUCCACCACUAUUAUUGUGAUUCAUGCCCAAUAGUAGCAACUCCAUUUAUUGAAACAAUUUCUGGUUUAGAAGUCUUACAAACCUUAGAUUUGAAAAGUUCUUUGAGUAUAAGGGAUGAGCAUUUAUUGAGGAAGCUUCCCCAUCUCAAAUAUUUGAGCUGUCUGGUCUCGCCAUCAUCUUCAUUUCCUGAAAUUGACAUUCUCCGUCAUCUUGAAUCCCUUUGGUUAUACAAUACUUGCAAUGAUGAUCCACAUAAUCAUGGGAAUCCACAUCUUCUUAAUGAUCUUAAACUCAACAAGUUUCCAUCAAGUAUUAAGGAAAUAUAAGUUUGGAGGGUAUUACUCUUUCGGUGUCAGCAAUUUCAAUAAUGGCACAACUCCCCAUUCUUGAGGCUCUAAUACUAGCGUGAUGCAAGUUUGAGGAGGGUUUAGAAUGGAAUCUGGAUGAGGAAACCCAAUUCCACAAACUAAAAUACCUCCAACUACACCAUCUUGAUAUUAGAAUUUAAUUUGGAAUAUUUGCAGUGAAGAGUCUUUUCCUUGUCUUGAGCAAGUAAUUUUGGAUUAUUGUGUGGAGUUAUGGGAGGUGCCUUAUAGAUUGGCAGAUAUUUUAACAUUGAAACUACUCAGUGUGCGUAGCUGCCAUAAUAGCACUCAAAGUUCAGCGAAGAAAAUUGAGGAAGAUGUACGAGACAUAGGAAAUGAGCAACUUAAUGUGGAGAUUAUAUCAAGUAAUCCAAGUACAGGGUGUGUAACGAAAAGAGUUUAUCAACUUGGGGGAUUGUCGGGAUUGCAGGGCAGAGAACUCAAUUUAUUAAAUCUGAAGCAAGAACAUCAACAAGAUAAUGUGGUGGUACAUCUAACCACUCACCAGGACCUGUCUCUGAAACGGCUUCCCUUGCAAGAGCAUGGGAUGCACGGUUCGUAGAUCUCCUAGCAUAACACAAGGUGAACAUGGAUAAAGGGAUUCAAGAUGAAUUCAAGUUGAGAAGAAAUUAAGAAUAGACCUAUUGGAGAUUUAUUAUGUGAGAAGCUUUAUGGUUGUAUAGUAUUAUCCUUUCUUGUAAUAUAGAAGUUGGAUUUGGGUUGAGUUUAUUUGAUGUUGUAAAUCUUAGCCUUAGCGUUUGGGUAUAGGGAAAUACCUGA
This is a long non-coding RNA of Ipomoea nil (Japanese morning glory), 1260 nucleotides long. RefSeq lists it as uncharacterized. Lineage: Eukaryota; Viridiplantae; Streptophyta; Magnoliopsida; Solanales; Convolvulaceae. The transcript has 4 exons. The record is from RefSeq and is a predicted model, not a curated record.